GUUGUUCACCAAAGCAUGCAAUUCUAUGGGAGGGAACGAAAUUGUCCUUUUUCAUCGUAAAAAAAAAACAAUAACAACAACAACAACAAUUUCAACUCUCGAAUGUAUACAUCAGCGUUACGAUGAAUCGUUGGGUACAAGCGCACAGAGGAAAUCUCUACAAAUUACGGGAUUUGAACUUGCCAUGAAACAAGGACCAACUCGACCUUAUAAUGAAGAAUGAAUGAAGAAAGAAAAAAAAUGUACAGCCGAUCGCUCUUUCUUGCCGUUCGAUGCUUAAAAGGUUUCACAUACUCAGCCCUUCGUCCCUGAGGGUGUCCUCGACCGCUCGCGCAAACUCCCGCCGGC
Long non-coding RNA from Copidosoma floridanum, 348 nucleotides. Lineage: Eukaryota; Metazoa; Arthropoda; Insecta; Hymenoptera; Encyrtidae. The record is from RefSeq and is a predicted model, not a curated record.